AUCCUUUUGUAUUUCAUAAGCGUGAUGAUUGGGUGUUCACACUGUUGUGUGACAUGUGCUUCCCUUAAAUCUUGUUAAGACCUUGGCACACUGCCUGUCUGACG
Molecule: small nucleolar RNA, 104 nt
Organism: Suricata suricatta (meerkat)
Lineage: Eukaryota; Metazoa; Chordata; Mammalia; Carnivora; Herpestidae
Source: Ensembl